CAACAUGCAGCUUCAUCUUCAUGCUAAAGUUCAGCUGCUUAUACUUUUAUUAAUACUAAUACUUGCGUGAAUAAUGUUAUUCAGAAAAAAAAACAACCAUACUGACACUUUUAAAAGGUUGUAGGUGGAGGCCUUGCCAGAGUUCGGAGCCUCCUUCUCUAAUCUGCAGAUAAAGGCAGAAUGUGCAGGCUGCUGGAAAAGGCUGCAGGAGGUGCAGAGUUGGUUGCUGAUAUUUGGCAGACACUUGAUUUGGAGCCUUUUCACCGCUCAACAGGAUUAGAUGGCAGCUAAUGUUUGUGUUUAGUAUAAACUCAAGCAGGAGGCUCUAGCUACAUCUUUUUUUUCGCACAAUCUACAUUUAGGUAGCUGCAGGUCAUGGAUUAAGAUUAUGGUGGAAGCAUGUAUGUUGGAUAUCCUUAUAAACUGGAGGUUGAGUUGGAAAUUUUAGACUGCCGAAAGGUGGAGGUUUGGUCUGCAGAUGUAAGCAACAAUCAGCAGAUUGAGGUGGGGGCUGCAGGUGUGUGGUUGGGGCUGGAGGUGCAUGGAGCAAAACGAAUGUUAACCUGACAUCUCUGCAUGUUCAUUUGAGAGCCUCACCCUAUGACUCUACAUUCAAUUUUACCAAACACCUGCAGCCACUGCCUCCACCUGCAACCUACACCCUCAACCAGACACAGCUGCAGUCUGUGUAUUGUUGACAGCUGCUAUCCGUAACUCCACCAUAACCUCCUGACACUGACAACAGGUAGCUCCUCCACCAGCGUCUGCAUGCUGACAUCAUUUUUACCCCCCCCAAGAUUCAGAGAAAGUAGCUACACCUUCAGAUUUUUGACAGCUGUCACACGUGCCUCGAUAUUCCUCCACCUGUGGAUUGGAAAUUUCAUCUUCAACGUAUUUAUCAAGCUCCAGAACUUAUAGUGUAAUGCAGCCUACAGCGAGGAAGUACCUUUUUUUUCUAACUGAGCUGCACCAGUUCCAAUUUAAUGGGAUAUUUCUUUGUUUGUUUUAGAUUUCCCUUUUUCACAAUAGAGCAUCAUUUUGGUGCAGACAUCAUCAUAAUAUAAUUUGUGACUACUAUAGUGAAAAAGCAUCUUUAUAAUUUGAUCCGUGUGGCUCAAAUGAUAACAAAACAACUUUUUGAACCACAACGAUUGAGAGGAAGAUCUGAAUAGCUGAUGCGACACUGAUGUGAAUUCUCUCCAUGCUGCCUAAACAGCACCCCCUGGUGGUUAGAGCUCUCACUGCAAUCAAGUGUCCUGCUGGAUUGAAAAUGUGUCUGCAGUAACAGGUGUGCCUGCAGCCACUUUAUCAGAGUCCAACUCAUCCCUGUAGAUCUCUCAGCUCUGCGUUAACUUCCCCUGCCAUACGUUCCUGAGCAUGUAAGAUCUGUUUAUCCUUAUCUGCCUGCAUUACUUUAUACAUUUGAGUAGACUGUUAGUUUAAGAGGUAAUUGCCAGAAAUCAUGGCUUUGGAUGGAAAAUAAAUCUAUAGAACUGCAAA
Molecule: long non-coding RNA, 1500 nt
Organism: Notolabrus celidotus (New Zealand spotty)
Lineage: Eukaryota; Metazoa; Chordata; Actinopteri; Labriformes; Labridae
Exons: 2
Source: RefSeq, a predicted model, not a curated record